AUUCCUUGCCGGAGCUGGACUACAGGUAAAAGUUAAUUCAGAGAUACUAUUGUUGCAAAAUAUAACUUUCUUGUACUGAAAUUAGUUAGGCUUAGGCGGCAUAAACCUUUUCUACACAUUUGACUCAAUGAAUUUUUUAAGGGAUUUAAAGAGCAACCAUUCUAUUUUCUUGAAUUACAUGCCAAUAUUGAGAAAUAAGUAGAGUACUUACCUAGAAUUAUGAUUACACUAGUGAGUAGCCAGCCGCACGCCUCUCUCUUUAACUUCUGAGGAAUAGUUUUUGCAAAGAA
This 290-nucleotide microRNA precursor is filed under the name Medicago truncatula (barrel medic). Its description in RNAcentral is "miR2640 stem-loop (mtr-MIR2640)". Lineage: Eukaryota; Viridiplantae; Streptophyta; Magnoliopsida; Fabales; Fabaceae. The record is from miRBase by way of RNAcentral.